CAAUUCUCCUUAGUAAAAGUAUUUUCUCAUGCAAAAAAAAAGAACUAAAAAAAAAUAGAGAUGGCGACGACAACUGCGAUUGGAUCUAGGGUUUGAGAUGUGCUUCUAUGGUGAAGAUGGGGGAUAAAGAGAUGGUCUCUAUGUUCCUCUUGUGGGUUGUCAGCAUCGGGGAUGGGUCGGAAGUUUGUCUUUGUUCUUGGUCUGGUUAAGUCUAUUGUUUCGAGGGUCUGUCUCCGUAAGAGAAAGAUUGGUUUUUUGGGCUCUUCAAUUGUUGAUUCAGUUUGAUUCGAUUGUUGGUGGAAGAAAGAUUGAGGGGAUUCGACUCAGGGAUGUAAGGAUCCUGUUGGUGAUAUAUUUGUUUGGUCAGGAUAUGAUAUUAAAUCUAAUUUCGUCUAUGGUCUUGGGUAUCAAGGUGAGGAUUUUUUGGAGAUGUAGUUAUGGAAGUUAUAUUCCUAAUCUUUGGUGGUCUAUUGGUAGGGGGAUAAUCAGCGAUUCGGUGAUAGGGUUUGCUUUGGAAAUAUUUGUGAUUCGAAUAUCUCUUCAUUUUCAAGGUGGAGACUGGGUUGUAGAAUUGGUAUUUAUUCAGUGGAUUAGGUUAUUAUGAUGCAUCAAUCUUAAGCUUCUUCGUCCAUUGGUUGUAUCCGAGAGUUAGUCUAAUCAGAGUGGUGAUUUUUUCUAGCAGGUGAGUGUUGGUGAUUUGGUUUCUUUUGCGUAUUAUGGCUUAACUAGCGCUUAAAAAGGGCAAAGCUUCUUUGGUUUGUACUUAAACGGUGAAAAUCUCAAACUCUGUCUUUGCUUAGAGAAUUCAGUAAUUUUCUCUGACUUGGGAGGUUGAUGAAUCCGGCCAUCCAGAGGAUCGAUUCUUUGGUGGCCAAUCUGCCUAAGAUCUGUAAGCUUGAGGAUAGAGUGGUAGGGGCUUAUCUGGGGCAGAGAAUUUUUCUUUUCAACUUUGAAGCAGAAGAUGAUCAUCAGUCUGUGCUACAGAAUGGUUCUUACCAUUUUGAUGGUUGGAUGGUUUCUCUGGUAAGGUGGGAGCCUAUCAUUUCGUCCACAUAUCCAUCUGCUAUCAAUUUUUGGGGGAAGUUGCUGGUAUUCUUAUGCACAUUUGGGAGGUAACAACCUUAGAAGCAAUUGGUAAGCAGGUUGGUUUAAUCCGGGAGCUAGACGAGGAGUAUGGAAGUAUAUUUGUUACUGUUAGUGGCUUUAAUCCCCUUCUCUUCCAGAAUGGUGGCGCCUUUUGAUAAUGGUGAUUAAAUUGUCGUUUCUCUUGAAUAUAGAAAUUGAUGGGAUUUUGUGAGCAGUGUUCUAGGUUUACUCGUGAGACAAGAGCUUGUCCUGAGUUAAGUAAGGAAAGGAAAGGUCCGAGGAUCUAAACCUAAGUAGCUGACCAGCUCGAGUAACGAAGGCAAGGAAGGGAGAGGAUGGUGGCUUUGGGUAGUUUUAUUUCUGGUCUAGUACUUUAAACGAUGUAUUAACUUAUUGGCAUGACUUUCGUUGUAUUAAAACCUCAUCGUGAAUUUGAAUGCACGUUUAUGCUUA
Molecule: long non-coding RNA, 1539 nt
Organism: Camelina sativa (false flax)
Lineage: Eukaryota; Viridiplantae; Streptophyta; Magnoliopsida; Brassicales; Brassicaceae
Source: RefSeq, a predicted model, not a curated record